AGACACAGACAGAGGUUUUUUCGGAGGAGAAUGAAACCUGCAAUAAACGGGUUAAACAGAGCAAGAGGGGUUGCCAGGUUGCUCAAGGCCAGCAGGUGGUUGGCAAGGGCAACCGCUCUGAUAAGAGCUGCUCUCGCAGAAGCUCUAGUGUGGGGGAAAGUUGUAUGGAGAGAGGACUGCGUUUGAAACUUAUUAACAGUAAAAGACUUACAAAGAACUUUGCUUGGCCUGGAUUAUUUCUGGUUCUGCACAGCUCCAGAGUCGCUUCUCUGGACUGUACCAACACGCACGCUCCAACAGGCACCCCCAGUUACUUAUUUUUCCUGUAUGUUUUUGUCUGCUAUGAUGUUGCAUAGAUGUCCUUUUCUGUGCCCUGUGCCCAGCAGAAGCUCUAGGCCAGGCAGGACGCAGUGGCAUCUCGUAGAGGACACCCUCCCCUUUCCUGGGGUAUAUGAUUUGUCCUGACCAAAAGCAGAUUUUGGGGUGUGGCCAAUGGAAAUGCUUUGCUGCAGGCUCAGGCAGAGACCCAGUGAUUGGCCCAAAAUGUUGCUGUGGGUGGUCCUGAAAGGUCUGAAGUCAGCAAUAGAGUUGCUCUUCCCUCGCGCUCUGUGGAGGCCACGAGGGAGGAGGUGGAGAGAGAGAAAAAGAAAUUUUUCCAAAAUUGAAGAUGGUGGAGAAGAAAGGAGCGGAGGGAGAAAGCCAGAGGCAAGGAGGAAGGAGGAAGCGGAGGAAUGGAAGUGAAGAGCUAUGGAGCUGAGAUGACAAAAUCCUACUGCCUUGCUGUUAGUCAAAGCUGCUUGGAACAGCAGGGGCAGCCCUGCUGUCUGGCAGCCCUACCUGGAGAUGCUGCCAGGGAUUGAACCUCCUGGGACCUUCUGUAUGCAAAGCAGUUGCUCUACCCCUGAGCUACGGCUCUUCUCCAAGAAGGCAUGUUAAAAUGAACGAAGACAUGCCAUACAUUGAAAAGGCAUGCCAGCUGGGCUUCAAUUCAAACUUAGGGUUUGGAUGAUGGCCGAAGAGUAUCAGAGAAGGGCUGCUGUAUUAUUUCU
Long non-coding RNA from Rhineura floridana, 1049 nucleotides. RefSeq lists it as uncharacterized. The record is from RefSeq and is a predicted model, not a curated record. The transcript has 4 exons. Lineage: Eukaryota; Metazoa; Chordata; Lepidosauria; Squamata; Rhineuridae.